This 88-nucleotide transfer RNA is filed under the name Blastococcus fimeti. Its description in RNAcentral is "Blastococcus sp. DSM 44205 tRNA_Ser_TGA". It matches the Rfam family "tRNA". From Rfam's summary of the family: Transfer RNA (tRNA) molecules are approximately 80 nucleotides in length. Lineage: Bacteria; Bacillati; Actinomycetota; Actinomycetes; Geodermatophilales; Geodermatophilaceae. The record is from RNAcentral.
GGAUUGAUAGCCAAGUGGUUGUACGGCGCCGUACUUGAAAUACGGUUGCGCUUCAUCGCGCACGGAGGUUCGAAUCCUUCUCAGUCCG